UCUUCAAUCGUAUAGUGGCUAGUAUGCACCCCUGUCAAUCCUUCUGGUUUGGCCGGGCGCACGGGUGAGACCGGAGUUCGAUUCUCCGUUGGAGAG
RNAcentral lists this transfer RNA (96 nucleotides) under Tilletia horrida. Its description in RNAcentral is "tRNA-Asp". It matches the Rfam family "tRNA". From Rfam's summary of the family: Transfer RNA (tRNA) molecules are approximately 80 nucleotides in length. Their secondary structure includes four short double-helical elements and three loops (D, anti-codon, and T loops). Lineage: Eukaryota; Fungi; Basidiomycota; Exobasidiomycetes; Tilletiales; Tilletiaceae. The record is from RNAcentral.